This 261-nucleotide ribosomal RNA is filed under the name uncultured bacterium. Its description in RNAcentral is "partial 16S ribosomal RNA". It matches the Rfam family "Bacterial small subunit ribosomal RNA", at positions 793 to 1055 of the family's 1533-position model. The record is from RNAcentral.
GUCCACGCCGUAACGAUGAGCGCUAGGCGUUGGGGUAUUGACCCCUCCAGUGCCGCAGCUAACGCGUUAAGCGCUCCGCCUGGGGAGUACGGCCGCAAGGCUAAACUCAAAGGAAUUGACGGGGCCCGCACAAGCGGUGGAGUAUGUGGUUUAAUUCGACGCAACGCGAAGAACCUUACCUGGGUUAAAUCCACCGGAACCCUCUGGAGACAGGGGAGUGCCCUUCGGGGAAUCGGUGAGAAGGUGCUGCAUGGCUGUCGU